CCUACGGGUGGCAGCAGUGAGGAAUAUUGGUCAAUGGGAGAGAUCCUGAACCAGCCAAGCCGCGUGAGGGUAGACGGCCCUAUGGGUUGUAAACCUCUUUUGUCGGAGAACAAAACCCGGGACGUGUCCCGGACCGCGUGUAACCGACGAACAAGCAUCGGCUAACUCCGUGCCAGCAGCCGCGGUAAUACGGGGGAGGCGAGCGUUAUCCGGAUUUAUUGGGUUAAAAGGGUGCGUAGGCGGACCGUUAAGUCAGCGGUAAAAUUGCGGGGCUCAACCCCGUCGAGCCGUUGAAACUGGCAGACUGGAGUGGGCGAGAAGUAGGCGGAAUGCGCGGUGUAGCGGUGAAAUGCAUAGAUAUCACGCAGAACUCCGAUUGCGAAGGCAGCGUGCCGGAGCCAGACUGACGCUGAGGCACGAAAGCGUGGGGAGCGAACAGGAUUAGAUACCCUAGUAGUC
RNAcentral lists this ribosomal RNA (459 nucleotides) under uncultured bacterium. RNAcentral's name for it is "partial 16S ribosomal RNA". It matches the Rfam family "Bacterial small subunit ribosomal RNA", at positions 338 to 795 of the family's 1533-position model. The record is from RNAcentral.